UACGGAGGAUGCGAGCGUUAUCCGGAUUUAUUGGGUUUAAAGGGUGCGUAGGCGGAGUGUCAAGUCAGCGGUAAAAUUUCGGGGCUCAACCCCGUCGUGCCGUUGAAACUGACGCCCUUGAGUGAGUGAGAAGUAAGCGGAAUGCGUGGUGUAGCGGUGAAAUGCAUAGAUAUCACGCAGAACCCCGAUUGCGAAGGCAGCGUGCCGUGCCGCCACUGACGCUGAGGCACGAAAGCGCGGGGAUCGAACAGG
This 252-nucleotide ribosomal RNA is filed under the name uncultured Bacteroidales bacterium. RNAcentral describes it as "partial 16S ribosomal RNA". It matches the Rfam family "Bacterial small subunit ribosomal RNA", at positions 524 to 776 of the family's 1533-position model. The record is from RNAcentral. Lineage: Bacteria; Pseudomonadati; Bacteroidota; Bacteroidia; Bacteroidales.